RNAcentral lists this ribosomal RNA (794 nucleotides) under uncultured Methanosarcinaceae archaeon. Its description in RNAcentral is "partial 16S ribosomal RNA". Lineage: Archaea; Methanobacteriati; Methanobacteriota; Methanomicrobia; Methanosarcinales; Methanosarcinaceae. The record is from RNAcentral.
GUGCUCCCCCGCCAAUUCCUUUAAGUUUCAACCUUGCGGUCGUACUUCCCAAGUGGCCCGCUUCACGGCUUCCCUACGGCACCACGGCAGUUCACGACUGCCGUGACACCUAGCGGGCAUCGUUUACGGCUAGGACUACCCGGGUAUCUAGUCCGGUUCGUGCCCCUAGCUUUCGUCCCUCACCGUCGGACCUGUUCUGGUAGGACGCCUUCGCCACCGGUGGUCCCCAGAGGAUUACAGGAUUUCACUCCUACCCCCUGAGUACCUCCUACCUCUCCCAGUCCCAAGCAAUGUAGUAUCCCGCAGACGCCCAACGGUUAAGCCGCUGGAUUUCCCACAAGACUUGCAAAGCCGGCUACGGACCCUUUAGACUCAAUAAUAUCGGCCACCACUCGAGCCGCCGGUAUUACCGCGGCGGCUGGCACCGGUCUUGCCCGGCCCUUGCUAACAGCCGUUUUUUAGACAGCUGGACAGACACCUAAUGUAGAUGCCACUCGAUGUUCCCCUAUCGCAGUUGCCUGCAUUGUAGAGUUUUCGCGCCUGCUGCGCCCCGUAGGGCCUGGAUUCGUGUCUCAGAAUCCAUCUCCGGGCUCUUGCUCCCACAACCCGUACUGAUAAUCGGCACGCCGGUACUUUACACCGGCGUCAACCUAAUCAGGCGCAGACCCAUCCAAAGGCGCCAGAGCUUUCAAUCAAAAAACCCUUCCAGUACUCUUGACCUAUCCGGUAUUAUCCCCAGUUUCCCGGAGUUAUCCCAGACCUUUGGGUAGGUUGUCCACGCGUUACUGAGCCGU